CCUACGGGAGGCAGCAGUAAGGAAUAUUGGUCAAUGGAGGCAACUCUGAACCAGCCAUGCCGCGUGCAGGAAGAAGGCCCUAUGGGUCGUAAACUGCUUUUGUACCAGAGAAAACCCGAGUACGUGUACUCGGUUGAUAGUAUGGUAAGAAUAAGCAUCGGCUAACUUCGUGCCAGCAGCCGCGGUAAGACGAAGGAUGCAAGCGUUAUCCGGAUUCAUUGGGUUUAAAGGGUGCGUAGGCGGACUGAUAAGUCAGUGGUGAAAUCUCUCGGCUUAACCGAGAAACUGCCAUUGAUACUGUUAGUCUAGAGUAUAGAUGACGUUGGCGGAAUAUGACAUGUAGUGGUGAAAUACUUAGAUGUGUCAUAGAACACCGAUUGCGAAGGCAGCUAACGAAACUAUAACUGACGCUGAGGCACGAAAGUGCGGGGAUCAAACAGGAUUAGAUACCCUGGUAGUCCGCACCGUAAACGAUGAUUACUCGUUGUUGGCAAUAUGACCGUCAGCGACCAGCGAAAGCGAUAAGAAUCCAACCUGGGGAGUUAGCGGNAACGGUUGAACUUAAGGAUUGACAGNGNGAGAGNGCGAGAGCGACGAGGAGAGG
Molecule: ribosomal RNA, 604 nt
Filed under: uncultured bacterium
Lineage: Bacteria
Description: bacterial SSU rRNA
Rfam family: Bacterial small subunit ribosomal RNA
Source: RNAcentral